This 133-nucleotide ribosomal RNA is filed under the name uncultured bacterium. RNAcentral's name for it is "partial 16S ribosomal RNA". The record is from RNAcentral.
GGAGGUACCGUCAACUUCCGGGGUAUUGGCCCGAAAGGAUUCUUCCCUCCUGACAGCGGUUUACGACCCGAGGGCCUUCAUCCCGCACGCGGCGUCGCUCGGUCAGGGUUUCCCCCAUUGCCGAAGCCUCUCG